Molecule: ribosomal RNA, 460 nt
Filed under: uncultured bacterium
Lineage: Bacteria
Description: partial 16S ribosomal RNA
Rfam family: Bacterial small subunit ribosomal RNA
Source: RNAcentral
CCUACGGGCGGCAGCAGUGAGGAAUAUUGGUCAAUGGGCGGAAGCCUGAACCAGCCAAGUAGCGUGCAGGAUGACGGCCCUACGGGUUGUAAACUGCUUUUAUACGGGAAUAACGCGCCUUACGUGUAGGGCUUUGCAUGUACCGUAUGAAUAAGGACCGGCUAAUUCCGUGCCAGCAGCAGCGGUAAUACGGAAGGUCCGGGCGUUAUCCGGAUUUAUUGGGUUUAAAGGGAGCGUAGGCCGCAUGUCAAGCGUGCUGUGAAAUGUCCGGGCUCAACCCGGGCCUUGCAGCGCGAACUGGCGUGCUUGAGUCCGCGGAAAGCAGGCGGAAUUCGUCGUGUAGCGGUGAAAUGCUUAGAUAUGACGAAGAACCCCGAUUGCGAAGGCAGCUUGCUGCAGCGGAACUGACGCUGAGGCACGAAAGCGUGGGGAUCGAACAGGAUUAGAUACCCUUGUAGUC